UUUACACAACUCUCUCUCUCUUUUAUUAUCUUACAACAUAAACGAGUUCAUACAUAUUUAGAUACACGUUUAUAAACAUCGAUUGGUAAUUAUUGUACAAUCGGUCUACGAAUAUCUCACCGGAUUUCGAACGUUCUCGUCCGGCGUCAUUGAGCUACUCCCACGCCCUUGAUCUGUCCGUUUUAGACCGUCCACGUGUCUUUGCAUGUUGGACUUUCGCUUAUGUCUGCGCGGGUGGGUCCGGCAUCUGUUGGUAACAUUUUUUGGGGUCAACAGAUUGGCGCCGUCUGUGAGAAUCCAUACAAUAACCACGAACAACCUUAUAGUGAAAGCUUAUUGAAGAGGAACGUUUAGGCAUUCCCCUUGAAAAAGGAUUUGUUCUUGAAAAAGAACAAGAGAAAGCCUCACAACUUAGUAAAAAACUGAAGGUCAAACAAAGAAAAUGAGUUCAAACGAAGACACCCCCGGGAGGGUAAGAGAAAAUGCAGGUGUGCCCCCUCCGGCAGUUGCCCUGGCAGCUUGGCACCGACUCUACCACCAUCAUAGAUGAGGUGGAAUGCGAGUGACAGUCCGGUUAUCAAGAGAAAUGGCCAACAUGGCAGCCAACAUGAGGGACAUUGCUAGCCAGAACAUGGCUAUGAGGGAACUCAUGGUCCAAAUGCAAGGCCAGGGAGAUUUCCCUAUUCCCCCAUACGCCUCAUAAGGACACUAUCAGCAAGAAGAUGAAGUUCAAAGUCAGAGAGUUGCCUCGCCGGACUAUAGCCGAGGUAGAAGUCCAUUUGAAAGGAAAGUAAAAGUUGAUAUUUCUUCCAACUACGCGUCUGGGCGACCCACCGAGGUCCCUUUGAACCAUGAAAACUUCCUACCUCUAUAUGAGCAAGAGCAAAGACAUAGGAGGUCAGGUAGUAUAUUUGACAGAAUCAGC
RNAcentral lists this long non-coding RNA (925 nucleotides) under Olea europaea (common olive). Its description in RNAcentral is "long non-coding RNA (OEUR_LNC009313)". The record is from RNAcentral. Lineage: Eukaryota; Viridiplantae; Streptophyta; Magnoliopsida; Lamiales; Oleaceae.